AGUCGAGGGGCAGCAUGGUCUUAGCUUGCUAAGGCCGAUGGCGACCGGCGCACGGGUGAGUAACACGUAUCCAACCUGCCGUCUACUCUUGGACAGCCUUCUGAAAGGAAGAUUAAUACAAGAUGGCAUCAUGAGUCCGCAUGUUCACAUGAUUAAAGGUAUUCCGGUAGACGAUGGGGAUGCGUUCCAUUAGAUAGUAGGCGGGGUAACGGCCCACCUAGUCUUCGAUGGAUAGGGGUUCUGAGAGGAAGGUCCCCCACAUUGGAACUGAGACACGGUCCAAACUCCUACGGGAGGCAGCAGUGAGGAAUAUUGGUCAAUGGGCGAGAGCCUGAACCAGCCAAGUAGCGUGAAGGAUGACUGCCCUAUGGGUUGUAAACUUCUUUUAUAAAGGAAUAAAGUCGGGUAUGCAUACCCGUUUGCAUGUACUUUAUGAAUAAGGAUCGGCUAACUCCGUGCCAGCAGCCGCGGUAAUACGGAGGAUCCGAGCGUUAUCCGGAUUUAUUGGGUUUAAAGGGAGCGUAGAUGGAUGUUUAAGUCAGUUGUGAAAGUUUGCGGCUCAACCGUAAAAUUGCAGUUGAUACUGGAUAUCUUGAGUGCAGUUGAGGCAGGCGGAAUUCGUGGUGUAGCGGUGAAAUGCUUAGAUAUCACGAGGAACUCCGAUUGCGAAGGCAGCCUGCUAAGCUGCAACUGACAUUGAGGCUCGAAAGUGUGGGUAUCAAACAGGAUUAGAUACCCUGGUAGUCCACACGGUAAACGAUGAAUACUCGCUGUUUGCG
Molecule: ribosomal RNA, 779 nt
Filed under: uncultured bacterium
Lineage: Bacteria
Description: bacterial SSU rRNA
Rfam family: Bacterial small subunit ribosomal RNA
Source: RNAcentral